Molecule: ribosomal RNA, 301 nt
Filed under: uncultured bacterium
Lineage: Bacteria
Description: partial 16S ribosomal RNA
Rfam family: Bacterial small subunit ribosomal RNA
Source: RNAcentral
CAGCAGCCGCGGUAAGACAGAAGAUGCAAGCGUUAUCCGGAAUGAUUGGGCGUAAAGCGUCUGUAGGUGGCUUUUCAAGUCCACCGUCAAAUCCCAGGGCUCAACCCUGGACAGGCGGUGGAAACUACCAAGCUAGAGUACGGUAGGGGCAGAGGGAAUUUCCGGUGGAGCAGUGAAAUGCGUUGAGAUUGGAAAGAACACCAACGGCGAAAGCACUUUACUGAGCCGACACUGACAUUGAGAGGCGUAAUCUAGGGGAGCAAAUGGGAUUAGAGACCCCAGUAGUCCCUGUCUCUUAUAC